AUCGCUACGACAUGACUAUUAAAUAAACACGUCCCAGGGUUUAUUCGCCUCGCUCUGAUAAAAUGGAUGCCUGCCCGAGACUUGCAUUUUAGCACGUAAAUAUCAGCAUGGGAAACGAAGUAAAGUGCAAGCUAACUAGAAUGAUGGCUUGCUUCUUUUUCUUUGUUAUGGAUUUGGGGUGUUGAUUGCUAUGUAUAACACCAAUCUUCGCCGAUUGAUCAGGUUUUCAUCAUUGGACCCCUGAAGCAGGUAAGGAAAGCAGAAGCAAUGUUGAGGGGCAGGAUGUUGUGAGAUACUUUUGACCCUUCUGCUGCACCUGGAAUCCAAAGUUUUGCAUUCUUAUUACUCGAUUGUCACGCUAAACAAACUUGAGUGAGACAUAUCUCACUUCUUUUGCUAAUAGAUGAACCCUGAGCUGACAUACCAAUUCAUCUCACAUUGGACGGGGUGCUAAAUGAAUGCAUAUGUUUGAAGUUAAAUUCGUAUUGCUUUAUUAAGCGCGAAUGAAACUGAGUUUGAUUCCGUACUUUCACUUUGCAACUUGCACUAAAUAGAAUCUCUUGCAUGCACGUAUUAUAAAGAAAAAGACCAUUGCUGGUCUUAUUCUUUGAUAGCAGAGUAAAGAGUUUUAGACUUGGUUUAUGCAUGCAACAACAAUAACAACAGACCUAGUGUAAUUCCACAAGUGAAGUCUAGGAAGGUUAGUGUGUAUGUAAAUCUUACCCUACCUUGUGAAGAUAUAGGCUGUUUCCAAAGACCCUCGAUACUUGGUUUAUGCAUGCAGUUGAAUGUAUUUUAGUGCACUAAUGCCUCUCUUUCUGGAGUCGUAAGAAUAUUU
RNAcentral lists this long non-coding RNA (838 nucleotides) under Nicotiana tabacum (common tobacco). RNAcentral describes it as "long non-coding RNA (NTAB_LNC011830)". The record is from RNAcentral. Lineage: Eukaryota; Viridiplantae; Streptophyta; Magnoliopsida; Solanales; Solanaceae.